This 555-nucleotide ribosomal RNA is filed under the name Leptodontidium sp. BESC246e. RNAcentral's name for it is "eukaryotic LSU rRNA". It matches the Rfam family "Eukaryotic large subunit ribosomal RNA", at positions 1 to 561 of the family's 3401-position model. The record is from RNAcentral. Lineage: Eukaryota; Fungi; Ascomycota; Leotiomycetes; Helotiales; Leptodontidiaceae.
ACCUCGGAUCAGGUAGGGAUACCCGCUGAACUUAAGCAUAUCAAUAAGCGGAGGAAAAGAAACCAACAGGGAUUACCUCAGUAACGGCGAGUGAAGCGGUAACAGCUCAAAUUUGAAAGCUGGCUCUUUUAGGGUCCGCGUUGUAAUUUGUAGAAGAUGCUUCGGGUGUGGCCCCGGUCUAAGUUCCUUGGAACAGGACGUCAUAGAGGGUGAGAAUCCCGUAUGUGACUGGGUGCUUUCGCUCAUGUGAAGCUCUUUCGACGAGUCGAGUUGUUUGGGAAUGCAGCUCAAAAUGGGUGGUAAAUUUCAUCUAAAGCUAAAUAUUGGCCAGAGACCGAUAGCGCACAAGUAGAGUGAUCGAAAGAUGAAAAGCACUUUGGAAAGAGAGUUAAACAGUACGUGAAAUUGUUGAAAGGGAAGCGCUUGCAACCAGACUUGCGCGCUGAUGAUCAUCCGGGCUUCUGCCCGGUGCACUCGUCUGCGCUCAGGCCAGCAUCGGUUUCGGUGGUGGGAUAAAGGCCUUGGGAAUGUGGCUCCUCUCGGGGAGUGUUAUAG